This 249-nucleotide long non-coding RNA is filed under the name Mytilus galloprovincialis (Mediterranean mussel). The record is from RNAcentral. Lineage: Eukaryota; Metazoa; Mollusca; Bivalvia; Mytilida; Mytilidae.
AUGUGUAAAGAAUUUAAAAACUAUUUCCUUUACAAGUUGUAAAAAUUUAUACAUAAAACCUGAUAUGUGCUUUCUAGUUUAUUAUGAACUAUUGAUUUUUUUUACCAAUAAUAGACAAAAUCAAAAUAAACUACUUAAAAUAAACUCAUCAUAGAUACCAGGACUAAAUUAAGUAUACGCCAGACGCGCGUUUUAUUGAUAUUGCAUUAAGGAUUUUUUUUAUACCCAAGCUCACCUUUUGAAAACAUA